ACGGAAGGCAGCAGCUAAGAAUAUUCCGCAAUGGACGAAAGUCUGACGGAGCGACGCCGCGUGGAUGAUGAAGGUCGAAAGAUUGUAAAAUCCUUUUAGGAGUGAAGAAUAAGCGGUGCAGGGAAUGGCAUCACGGUGACGGUAGCUCCUGAAUAAGCAACGGCUAAUUACGUGCCAGCAGCCGCGGUAACACGUAAGUUGCGAGCGUUGUUCGGAAUUAUUGGGCGUAAAGGGUAUGUAGGCGGUCGUGCAAGCUUGGUGUGAAAGGCAGGGGCUCAACCCCUGGACUGCAUUGAGAACUGCAUGACUUGAAUUGCUGAAGGGCAGCCGGAAUUCCAGGUGUAGGGGUGAAAUCUGUAGAUAUCUGGAAGAACACCAAUGGCGAAGGCAGGUUGCUGGCAGAUGAUUGACGCUGAGGUACGAAAGUGCGGGGAGCAAACAGGAUUAGAUACCCUGGUA
This 459-nucleotide ribosomal RNA is filed under the name uncultured Treponema sp. Its description in RNAcentral is "partial 16S ribosomal RNA". It matches the Rfam family "Bacterial small subunit ribosomal RNA", at positions 341 to 792 of the family's 1533-position model. Lineage: Bacteria; Pseudomonadati; Spirochaetota; Spirochaetia; Treponematales; Treponemataceae. The record is from RNAcentral.